This is a non-coding RNA of Chlorocebus sabaeus (green monkey), 1666 nucleotides long. The record is from RefSeq and is a predicted model, not a curated record. NCBI's taxonomy places the organism in Eukaryota, Metazoa, Chordata, Mammalia, Primates, Cercopithecidae.
GGACCACACCCCGCGGGCACGAGUCCGAUUGGCAGAUUGUCGCCGAGUGAUUUCAACGGUGACGCCCCCACCCGAAUGCCUCGCUGGGAUUGGCUCAUUUCUUGAUUCAGACCUGGACGGUGGCCAGAGGAGGACAAGAGGCUUUCACACAGAACGGAGGUGAUGUGGACGACAGCGGAGACGCAGCCGCACUUGAACAAGCGAUCGGGCCCCGGGGACAUGGCGGCAGCCUCUGCACCGUCAGUGUUGCUCGCGGCUGCAAGAAACUGGUGGCGGCACUGCCUGAGCCCGCUGCUGUUGCCAAGGUGACGGGGCAUAAAGCGGCGGUCGAUCGAGUCUCACUUCAUCACCCAGGCUGGAGUGCAGUAGCAUUAUCUGAGAUCACUAUAGUCUCCACCACUCGGAUUCAAGCGAUUAUCUUGCCUCAGCCUCCCGAGUAGUAGCUGGGAGUACAGGCGUGUGCUAUCAUGCCCAGCUAAUUUUUGUAUUUUUGGUAGAGACCUGGUUUUGCCUUGUUGGCCAGGCUGGUCUCGAACUUCUGACCUCAAGUGAUCCACCUGCCUCGGCCUUCUAAAGUGCUGGGAUUACAGGCGUGAACCACUUAGCCUGGUCAGUUAUUGUCUCUUUUUAAAGAUUGUGUUGCUUUCUGCCUCAAUAUUAAUACGUUGGAAAUUACCAAGAAGUUCAUGACAGAUCUAUUUCACAUUCUGGUGAAGAAGGAAGAAUUGGCCCUUGAAGGAGUCAAUGUUUUACAAUAAUUUUGGAAGAGGGUAGUGACAGAAGGAAGAAAACAUUGUCAGGAGGGAAUUCAGAUAAAGGACAAACCAUGUUUUGACUGCUACUGACUUGUUGAACUGGCAGUAGGGGUCAACUUGGGAAGACAGCUGUGACCAUAAAUAUUAAAGAAGACAAAAGGAUUCUUUGUGACACUGAGACCUUCUGCAGUACUACAGUGGGGGAAAUGCCGGCGUACACAGCUGGCCUCAUGUAAUUCCUGGGAUGAGAUCAUUUGGGAUGCAGUGCUGGCUGUUGCUGAGCAGGCGAUCACAAUGCGUACUGUGUUUCUUUCCUUGAGAAUAUUUGAAUCUCGCCUGAGUACUCAUAACAGAUGAGAAACACAGGUUUUGAUAGCAUAGAUUCACGCUAUCAUUAGUCAUGAGCUCUUGGGAGCAAAGUAUUGGUUUUAUCCUCUUUAGAGUUAGACCUUGUGGUUGGGUAUGAAAGAUGAGUGUCUGUAAAAAUCUUUCUUAGAAAUGUAUUUCCUCAAGACUCUGUCUCAAAAAAAAAAAAAAUGAUUUCCUAGUUCUGUAAAAGUCGCUAUAUUGAGUGUUCUCUAUCACUUAAUAAUAUACUUACUUUGUUAUUAAGUGGACUUAAAGAUAUGCGGUGUAUAAAAUCAGCUAAUUAUGUUAAACCAUGGUGUCUCCCUUUAUUGUGUUAGGCUGAAUAGAACAAACUUUAAAAUAAUUUUUUAAAGAAAAUAUUUGAAUUCAUUUUGUUUGGUGUUAUGUUUUUAUUCAGAAAAGCAUUUUAUUAGUGCUAGGUGUGAACCGGAGCCUUUUGCUAAAUACCAGCAGCAAUCACGUCCUAGAGUUAAAUCCCAGAAAACUUGCCAUAUUGUAUAUUAAAGGUUCAAUAAAUUACAAUAAAGUAUUCUUUCUUUAAA